AGCUUUGCACAGUGGCAGUAUCCUAGCCAAUGAGGUUUACCUGAGGUGUGUUUAUUGCCAAUUGAAAAAUUCUGGCCAAAAAGGAACGUUGGUCUUGUGAGAUAGUAUAUGAAUUCUUUUGGGAUGUCAAUAUCAAGUUUUUUGAGACAAUAAAAUUCUU
RNAcentral lists this small nuclear RNA (160 nucleotides) under Suricata suricatta (meerkat). Its description in RNAcentral is "U4 spliceosomal RNA (ENSSSUG00005008838.1)". The stretch from base 1 to 134 matches the Rfam family "U4 spliceosomal RNA". From Rfam's summary of the family: U4 small nuclear RNA (U4 snRNA) is a component of the major U2-dependent spliceosome. The structure of U4 snRNA from yeast and human has been reported. Lineage: Eukaryota; Metazoa; Chordata; Mammalia; Carnivora; Herpestidae. The record is from RNAcentral.